Molecule: ribosomal RNA, 499 nt
Filed under: uncultured Glomeromycotina
Lineage: Eukaryota; Fungi; Glomeromycota
Description: SSU rRNA
Rfam family: Eukaryotic small subunit ribosomal RNA
Source: RNAcentral
CCAAUAGCGUAUAUUAAAGUUGUUGCAGUUAAAAAGCUCGUAGUUGAAUUUCGGGAUCAAAUUGUCGGUCGUGCCUCGGUACGUACUGGCAUUAUUGGUUCCUCCCUUCUGAAGAACCGCGAUGUCAUUAAUUUGGUGUCGCGGGGAAUCAGGACUGUUACUUUGAAAAAAUUAGAGUGUUUAAAGCAGGCUCGCGCUUGAAUACAUUAGCAUGGAAUAAUGAAAUAGGACGUUUGAUUCUAUUUUGUUGGUUUCUAGGAUCGACGUAAUGAUUAAUAGGGAUAGUUGGGGGCAUUAGUAUUCAAUUGUCAGAGGUGAAAUUCUUGGAUUUAUUGAAGACUAACUACUGCGAAAGCAUUUGCCAAGGAUGUUUUCAUUAAUCAAGAACGAAAGUUAGGGGAUCGAAGACGAUCAGAUACCGUCGUAGUCUUAACCAUAAACUAUGCCGACUAGGGAUCGGAUGAUGUUAAUUUUUUAAUGACUCAUUCGGCGCCUUACG